AGCCUUUCCAGGCGAAACGCAGCGCACAGCGCCCGGGCGGUGCCCAGCAUGGAGUGGGAGCUGAAUCUGCUGCUCUACCUGGCGCUCUUCUUCUUUCUGCUCUUCCUCCUGUUCCUCCUGCUCUUCGUGGUCAUCAAGCAGCUGAAGAACUCGGUGGCCAACACAGCCGGGACGCUGCAGCCCGGGCGCCUGUCACUGCACCGGGAACCGUGGGGUUUCAAUAACGAGCAAGCGGUGUAACCCAGCGCUGGGCUGGUCUCAGCUCCGCGGGGAUUCAGAUCUACGUCAUCUGGACCCAGGCUGGUACCCUUGACUCCUAUCACAGCCCUGCAAAGUUGGACAGUGGCUGGUGGAAAUCUUCUCGAGAAAGGCCAUCCCUUUCAUAUAUGGAGGAAGGCACUCUGCGCUCAGAAAUGCUACCUCUCUUCCUGCAGCUCCACUGUCAAUCCAGGAAUAUCCUGGGAGAUCGCCACUGGAGCUGCUUCCACUCACAGCCUGCGUACUGGCCAGCAGAGGGAGAAGAAACACUUCCCACACCCAGCGCUGUGCAAAAGAACUCUCUGUGAUGUGGAACUGUUCUAUAUCUGUGGUGCCCAAGGCGGCAACCGCUAGUUACAUGUGUCUAGUACACACUGAAAUGUGGCUA
Molecule: long non-coding RNA, 646 nt
Organism: Microtus ochrogaster (prairie vole)
Lineage: Eukaryota; Metazoa; Chordata; Mammalia; Rodentia; Cricetidae
Gene: Smim43
Exons: 3
Source: RefSeq, a predicted model, not a curated record